This 253-nucleotide ribosomal RNA is filed under the name uncultured bacterium. Its description in RNAcentral is "partial 16S ribosomal RNA". It matches the Rfam family "Bacterial small subunit ribosomal RNA", at positions 524 to 776 of the family's 1533-position model. The record is from RNAcentral.
UACGUAGGUGGCAAGCGUUGACCGGAUUUACUGGGCGUAAAGAGCGCGCAGGCGGUCGAUCAAGUCGCGUGUGAAAGCCCCCGGCUCAACUGGGGAGGGUCACGCGAUACUGAUCGACUCGAAGGCAGGAGAGGGUAGUGGAAUUCCCGGUGUAGUGGUGAAAUGCGUAGAUAUCGGGAGGAACACCAGUGGCGAAGGCGACUACCUGGCCUGUUCUUGACGCUGAGGCGCGAAAGCUAGGGGAGCAAACGGG